AUAAUACUUCCUUCGUUCAAAAAUACUUGUCGAAGAAAUUGAUAAAAAUGGACGUAUCUAAAAUUAAAAUAUGUCUAGAUACAUUCAUUUAUCAGACGAGUAUUUUCGGACCGAGGGAGCAUAAU
Molecule: non-coding RNA, 125 nt
Organism: Triticum aestivum (bread wheat)
Lineage: Eukaryota; Viridiplantae; Streptophyta; Magnoliopsida; Poales; Poaceae
Source: Rfam